RNAcentral lists this long non-coding RNA (405 nucleotides) under Lactuca sativa (garden lettuce). RNAcentral describes it as "long non-coding RNA (LSAT_LNC010160)". Lineage: Eukaryota; Viridiplantae; Streptophyta; Magnoliopsida; Asterales; Asteraceae. The record is from RNAcentral.
CAGAAGCAUCAUUCAAUAGAAUUUCGCAAGGGCUAGGUAUGAUGGAAUCAGAGUCAGUACCUCACAGUACCUCUCGAUCUCAAACGUAAGAAGCGAAACCAACCGAACGUUCGGGUUCGGUUCAACCAUUUCACUCGCUCAUUACGUCAAAGGUAGUUUCUCCUUGUUGUAUAUUUCUGGUGCAAAAUUUGUUUUUCUUUAUGUAAAAAGUUUUUUUUAUUGCAUAUCUAAACUCCUUGGUUUCUUAAAAAUUUUUCCAAAACCGAAACCUCCAGAAGGUUCGGGUUCGGUUUUNAUUUUCCUGAACCGAAACCUCCAGAAGGUUCGGGUUCGGUUUUCCAAAAUUUUAGUGAACCGAAACCAACCGAAGGUUCGGGUUCGGUUUUUCAAAAGUUUCCAGAACCG